Molecule: ribosomal RNA, 124 nt
Filed under: uncultured bacterium
Lineage: Bacteria
Description: partial 16S ribosomal RNA
Source: RNAcentral
GCCGGGGUUUCUUUACCAGAUACUGUCAUUAUCAUCUCUGGCGAAAGUGCUUUACGACCCUAAGGCCUUCAUCACACACGCGGCAUGGCUAGAUCAGGCUUGCGCCCAUUGUCUAAGAUUCCCC